UAGUAUAUAAACAAAGUAUCUACUGAGACAAUUUUUCUUAUAAAUAAAGGAAUAUUUUUUUCUUUACUAUUUUUUGUAUAGAAAAAAAAUACAUGAAAGCAAAACAGGAAAAUGUGUCUUAAUAUGCCUAAUUGAUAAAGAAUAAACAAGUGAUUAAAGGAGUAUAUACUUGAACAAAUCCCAGAACUAAGGAAGGUAAGCAAACAAGCUCGGAGAAAUGAUACGUUAUCUUAAGAGAUACCAAUCAAAUAAAACCUUCUUCGUAACCUAUUCACAUAAACAUUCACAGAAAUUUGAUAUUUACUGGCAGGACAUAAGCUAGAGUUUCGAAAGCUAGAAAAUAGGUUUAUCGCUGACUAUUCUGUGACUAAGAAAUUGACUACGGGUAUUCCCUUUUCUUGUUUCAGCGGUAUUUUCCGUAAGUAUAAAAUAAAAGAUCCAUUUCUCGCUAAAUAGUGUAUAGUAUUUAAAAUUGUAACAAUAUGUCAGCAAUGCACUACAUUAUUAACGAUUUAGUUUAAAAUGGCUACGAAGAAGAACUUUUAAUAAUUAAUAAUAUUGCCUUUUCAAACAAAAACGUGGAAUGUAUAUAAACUAUUGCAAUUGUCUAACAUUCCAUAGAUACUUUCUAAUCGUAAACAUGAAAGUUUCCUUAAUCAUCGCUAUUCUUGUUGCCGUUAUGGCUAUUGCAUCCUGUGUAGAAGAAGAUGAAUUCACAGGACCAUCUCACCUCAUAGAAAAAAGAGAAGCAAUAAUAGCACCGGCCGCACUUCCUUCGUGUGGUUUUUACGAAUGCAGCGCCAAUUGCAAAAGAAGGGGUUACUGGAAAGGUGGAUACUGCACCAUUAAUGGAUGCCAAUGCAUUUAUUAGCAAUCUGAAAAUAUUAAUGAAUGAAGCAUAA
This is a long non-coding RNA of Galleria mellonella (greater wax moth), 902 nucleotides long. RefSeq lists it as uncharacterized. Lineage: Eukaryota; Metazoa; Arthropoda; Insecta; Lepidoptera; Pyralidae. The record is from RefSeq and is a predicted model, not a curated record. The transcript has 2 exons.